Molecule: ribosomal RNA, 247 nt
Filed under: uncultured bacterium
Lineage: Bacteria
Description: partial 16S ribosomal RNA
Rfam family: Bacterial small subunit ribosomal RNA
Source: RNAcentral
AGCGAGGUAGCAAUACCUAGCGGCAGACGGGUGAGUAACAUGUGGGAAUCUGCCUUUUGGUUCGGAAUAACACGAGGAAACUUGUGCUAAUACCGGAUAAGUCUUUACGGAGAAAGCUUUAUGCACCAUUGGAUGAGCCUGCACUUGAUUAGUUAGUUGGUAGGGUAAUGGCUCACCAAGACUACAAUCAAUAGCUGAUUUGAGAGGAUGAUCAGCCACACUGGGACUGAGAUACGGCCCAGACUCC